This 75-nucleotide transfer RNA is filed under the name Candidatus Bathyarchaeota archaeon. RNAcentral describes it as "tRNA-Arg". It matches the Rfam family "tRNA". From Rfam's summary of the family: Transfer RNA (tRNA) molecules are approximately 80 nucleotides in length. Their secondary structure includes four short double-helical elements and three loops (D, anti-codon, and T loops). Further hydrogen bonds mediate the characteristic L-shaped molecular structure. tRNAs have two regions of fundamental functional importance: the anti-codon, which is responsible for specific mRNA codon recognition, and the 3' end, to which the tRNAs corresponding amino acid is attached (by aminoacyl-tRNA synthetases). tRNAs cope with the degeneracy of the genetic code in two manners: having more than one tRNA (with a specific anti-codon) for a particular amino acid; and 'wobble' base-pairing, i.e. permitting non-standard base-pairing at the 3rd anti-codon position. The record is from RNAcentral. Lineage: Archaea; Thermoproteati; Candidatus Bathyarchaeota.
GGGCCCGUAGCUCAGCCUGGAUAGAGCGGCAGCCCCCUAGGCCAAAGGUCGAGGGUUCGAAUCCCUCCGGGCCCG